This 501-nucleotide ribosomal RNA is filed under the name uncultured bacterium. Its description in RNAcentral is "bacterial SSU rRNA". It matches the Rfam family "Bacterial small subunit ribosomal RNA", at positions 28 to 524 of the family's 1533-position model. The record is from RNAcentral.
GAUGAACGCUAGCGGCAGGCUUAAUACAUGCAAGUCGAGGGGCAGCACGGUUAGCAAUAACUGGUGGCGACCGGCGCACGGGUGCGUAACACGUAUACAAUCUACCUUAAACAGGGGGAUAGCCUUUCGAAAGAGAGAUUAAUACCCCGUAAUAAAUUGAACGGCAUCGUUUGAUUUUGAAAGCUCCGGCGGUUUGAGAUGAGUAUGCGUCUGAUUAGCUAGUUGGUGAGGUAACGGCUCACCAAGGCGACGAUCAGUAGGGGGAUCUGAGAGGACUAACCCCCACACUGGUACUGAGACACGGACCAGACUCCUACGGGAGGCAGCAGUAAGGAAUAUUGGUCAAUGGAGGCAACUCUGAACCAGCCAUGCCGCGUGCAGGAUGACGGCCCUAUGGGUUGUAAACUGCUUUUAUACAAGAGAAAACCCUGGUACGUGUACCAGGUUGAUAGUAUUGUAAGAAUAAGCAUCGGCUAACUUCGUGCCAGCAGCCGCGGUAAU